Molecule: microRNA precursor, 62 nt
Filed under: Nautilus pompilius
Lineage: Eukaryota; Metazoa; Mollusca; Cephalopoda; Nautilida; Nautilidae
Description: Npo-Mir-2-P12_pre stem-loop
Source: RNAcentral
CUGACCAGGUGGUUGUGAUGUGCUGAGAUCAAUGUUCAUAUCACAGCCUGCUUGGAUCAGUA